This 459-nucleotide ribosomal RNA is filed under the name uncultured bacterium. RNAcentral's name for it is "partial 16S ribosomal RNA". It matches the Rfam family "Bacterial small subunit ribosomal RNA", at positions 338 to 795 of the family's 1533-position model. The record is from RNAcentral.
CCUACGGGUGGCUGCAGUGAGGAAUAUUGGUCAAUGGGCGCGAGCCUGAACCAGCCAAGUCGCGUGAGGGAAGACGGUCCUAUGGAUUGUAAACCUCUUUUGUCGGGGAGCAAAAGACGCCACGCGUGGCGUUCCGAGAGUACCCGAAGAAAAAGCAUCGGCUAACUCCGUGCCACCAGCCGCGGUAAUACGGAGGAUGCGAGCGUUAUCCGGAUUUAGUGGGUUGAAAGGGCGCGUAGGCGGACAGUUAAGCCGGCGGUCAAAUGUCGGGGCUCAACCCCGGCCUGCCGUCGGAACUGGGUGUCUUGAGUGGGCGAGAGGUAUGCGGAAUGCGUGGUGUAGCGGUGAAAUGCGUAGAUAUCACGCAGAACCCCGGUUGCGAAGGCAGCAUACCGGCGCCCUACUGACGCUGAGGCACGAAAGUGCGGGUAUCGAACAGGAUUAGAUACCCUGGUAGUC